Molecule: ribosomal RNA, 508 nt
Filed under: uncultured bacterium
Lineage: Bacteria
Description: bacterial SSU rRNA
Rfam family: Bacterial small subunit ribosomal RNA
Source: RNAcentral
GAUGAACGCUAGCGGCAGGCUUAAUACAUGCAAGUCGAGGGGCAGCACAGGUAGCAAUACUGGGUGGCGACCGGCAAACGGGUGCGGAACACGUACACAACUUACCUUCUGGUGGGGGAUAGCCUUUGGAAACGGAGAUUAAUACCCCAUAUUAUAUAUGAGCUGCAUGGUUUGUAUAUUAAAGAUUUAUUGCCGGAAGAUGGGUGUGCGUAUGAUUAGGUAGUUGGCGGGGUAAUGGCCCACCAAGCCGACGAUCAUUAACUGGUGGGAGAGCACGACCAGUCAAACGGGCACUGAGACACGGGCCCGACUCCUACGGGAGGCAGCAGUAAGGAAUAUUGGUCAAUGGACGGAAGUCUGAACCAGCCAUGCCGCGUGAGUGAAGAAGGCCUUCGGGUUGUAAAGCUCUUUUGUCCGGGAGGAAAUCCCGCAACCCAAUACGUUGCGGGGAUGACAGUACUGGAAGAAUAAGCACCGGCUAACUACGUGCCAGCAGCCGCUGUAAUAC